GGUGUUAGUAAAUAACAUUACACAAUCUUGUCAAGAUUGCAUAACGGGUGAAAACCCCGUACACCUCUA
Molecule: transfer RNA, 69 nt
Filed under: Upupa epops (Eurasian hoopoe)
Lineage: Eukaryota; Metazoa; Chordata; Aves; Bucerotiformes; Upupidae
Description: tRNA-Asp
Source: RNAcentral